Phodopus roborovskii (desert hamster) is the source of this 104-nucleotide small nuclear RNA. The record is from RefSeq and is a predicted model, not a curated record. NCBI's taxonomy places the organism in Eukaryota, Metazoa, Chordata, Mammalia, Rodentia, Cricetidae.
CGUUUCUGUGGCACAGACACUGGGCUGACAUUGGAAUGACUGGGACAUUAGCAUGGCCCCUGGGCAAAGAUGACAUGUAAAUACAUGCAAUGUUCCAUGUUUUU